GGAAAGAUGCCGGAGUGGUUGAACGGGGCGGUCUCGAAAACCGUUGAGCGUCAUUGGCGCUCCGAGAGUUCGAAUCUCUCUCUUUCCG
This 88-nucleotide transfer RNA is filed under the name Bacteroidota bacterium. RNAcentral's name for it is "Bacteroidetes bacterium (groundwater metagenome) tRNA-Ser". It matches the Rfam family "tRNA". From Rfam's summary of the family: Transfer RNA (tRNA) molecules are approximately 80 nucleotides in length. Their secondary structure includes four short double-helical elements and three loops (D, anti-codon, and T loops). Lineage: Bacteria; Pseudomonadati; Bacteroidota. The record is from RNAcentral.